This 361-nucleotide long non-coding RNA is filed under the name Androctonus crassicauda. Lineage: Eukaryota; Metazoa; Arthropoda; Arachnida; Scorpiones; Buthidae. The record is from RNAcentral.
UGUCAUGUCCACCAUUAUAUAGACUUGUUAAAACUCAAAAACAACCACUAACAUUGAGACCAAUGGUUGAUAAAUCAUAAUCACCACUUACUUCUUUGGAGAAGAAGCUAACAUAAUGGUGUUUAAUGAAAAUGACAGACUACACAUGCACAGUGGACUCUUCUAUAAAAUUCCUACAUUUAAAUUCUCAUAACAUAAAGGAAGAUACAUUCAUUGUUGCAGAUUAUUCAAAACUCUACACAUCCAUAAGUUUAGUCCCAGCAUGUCUGUUCUUAUAUAGGUUUUUGCUUAAAGGCCGCCACACACGGAGCGAUUUGUCGUCAGAUCGGUCGCCAAAUUUCAGGUUCGUCAGACCAAUUGU